Molecule: ribosomal RNA, 347 nt
Filed under: uncultured bacterium
Lineage: Bacteria
Description: bacterial SSU rRNA
Rfam family: Bacterial small subunit ribosomal RNA
Source: RNAcentral
AAUGAACGCUGGCGGCGUGCUUAACACAUGCAAGUCGAGCGAGGCCUGGGGGGCAACUCCCAGAGUCGAGCGGCGGACGGGUGAGUAACACGUGGGUAACCUGCCCGGAAGUGGGGAAUACCGUCGGGGAAACUCGAGCUAAUACCGCAUGACAUCUUUGGGACGAAAGUCCUGACGAUCAAAGCGGGGUCGCAAGAUCUCGCGCUACCGGAUGGGCCCGCGCCCGAUUAGCUAGUUGGNGAGGUAACGGCUCACCAAGGCUUCGAUCGGUAACCGGCCUGAGAGGGCGAUCGGUCACACCGGAACUGAGGACACGGUCCGGACUCCUACGGGAGGCAGCAGUGGGG